GUUUCACCAUGUUGGCCAGGCUGGUCUUGAACUCCUGACCUCAAGCGAUUGGCCUGCCUCGGCCUCCCAAAGUGCUGGGAUUACAGGCGUGAGUGACUGUGCCCUAGACUUUUUUUCCGUUGAUUUUGUGAGCUACCUCAGAGCCAAUACCUGCCUCUUCCUUCUGCUCAAGUUGGAUUUGGUUGUUUCCAACCAAGAAUCCUGACAACACAGCGUAGAGAUAAGCAGUCAUCCUGGUCAACCUCGCUGACUCCCAAGCCAAUCCCAACUUCAAGAGGUGCAGCAGGUGGCUUCCCUCAUAGUGGCAAAAGGGCUGCAGGAGCUCUGGGACUCACGUGCAUCCUCCAUCAUGAACAAGAGGAGAAGGGAACCACCCAGGAAGGUCGCUCCUAAAACCCUGACUCACAGACACUGAACUAACACAUGUUUAUGGUUGUCUUAAAGCAGUCGGUUUUGAGGUCACCUGUUCUUCACAAGACGUAAUGAAUGCAGCAGUUCAGGCUUUCCUGCAGUCGACUGAGUUCUCUGGUAACUGUGAGCAGGACUGAUGCGUGCCACCUGCAGGCCCACCCAUACGAACUUCCCACCCGAACCUCUGCAGCCUCCAUGCCCGGUCCUCUUGGCCUCAGGUCCCCUAGGCCAGCCAUGGGGGCCACAAGCUGAAGACGGCAGAGGUACAAGAGGAAGAAGUCUGGGGCCCUCAAUCAUGGCUGGGGGAUUGCUGCCCAGGAAUACCACCUGACCAGAGACACCACAUGAAUGAUUCCAUGAGCAGGAAAUAAAUCUUCAUGUUUAAGCCACUGAGAUUUGGGGAUUUAUCCAUUACAGUACCUAAAGUCACCUUAAACUAAUACUCUUUCUUUUUUUUUUUUUUUUUUUUUUGAGUCGGCGUCUUGCUCUGUGGCCCAGGCUGGAGUGCAGUGUCGAGAUCCCGGUUCACUGCAACCUCCGCCUCCCGGGUUCAAGUGAUUCUCCUGCCUCAGCUUCCUGAGUAACUGGGAUUACAGUCAUACGCUACCACACCUGGCUCAUUUUUGUAUUUUUAGGAGGGACAGGGUUUCACCAUGUUGGUCAAGCUGGUCUCGAACUCCUGACCUCGUGAUCCUCCCACCUCGGCCUCCCAAAGUGCUGGGAUUAUAGGCAUGAGCCACUGCGCCCGGCCUAAUACUCUUUCAUACAGAAUUUUUUUUCCCCCAGGCUGGAUUGUAAUGGCGUGAUCUCGGUCACUGCAACCUCCACCUCCCCGGUUCAAGCGAU
This 1257-nucleotide long non-coding RNA is filed under the name Homo sapiens (human). RNAcentral describes it as "HSALNT0235806". Lineage: Eukaryota; Metazoa; Chordata; Mammalia; Primates; Hominidae. The record is from RNAcentral.